UACAGUAGCAAUUAAGAGAUUGUUAUAUGAUUAUAUAAUCCACUUGUUCACUUUGGAUCCAUCCACUUGAUGUCUUUGGAUCCAUCCACUUAAAUCUAAUCCACUUUUUCCAUCCACUGAUAUAAUGACUCGUUAUGAUAGGCACACUUGUCGAAUGAUAGGCAUAUUUGUGUGACGUCUCAACAUCAUUAUCAUAACUCAUUGUCAUAUUAUCAUAACUCAUCAUCUAGCAUGUCAUAAAUUAUCAACACUAACUAAUUAUUAUCGUUCUAGCACAUGAUGAAUAUAAGCUAGAAUCUAGUGCUUUCUCCGAGAUAAAGUAGCACACUUGCUCUUAUUUAUGCACGCCCAUCUUAGGGCGCUGGCGAAGCUAUAUGUUAUAAAUGGGCCAUGGCCCACCCAACAUCCAGCGAACAAAUACAAUGUGUUAUCGUGAGUAAAAUGGGAUAUGCGAGAAAAAUAAUAUGCCUUCUUUUGUAUUGGCCUGCCCAAUUUUGGUUGUGUAACUCCACCACCGCUUACAGGCCCUAGCAAAAUUUGUAGAACACGGUAAGGGCAACCCUUCUUUUGCAAAAUUGACAGAGAUAAUAGAAUAAAAAAUGGGAGGUAAUUGGUGAAUGUCAAAAAACAGGAUACCAAAAUUGACUAUGGCCGAAGAGGGAAAUGAUCUGCUUCUAAGUGUGAAAUAUCUGUUAAAAAGUAGGAUCUCCUAUUGAACAUAUCAGAAAUUGCCUUCAUUAUUAUCCGACACUUUUAAGUAUGAUUUUCAAAUUUUCCAAAAUUGUGGGCCCUAAACGCCCGGCCCACCCUCCAAACAACUAAAAGAACUCGUUAGCAGAAGCAUGCAUCAAUGUCGAUUGGGGCUGGUGGUGGUGCCAUGGGUUACUUCUGGUGUCCGAUGUACUUCACUAUUUUAGACAAAAUUUAAAGAAUCCGAAGGGCUUCGGAAAUGCUAUAAAGCCAGAAUGCAGCAAUGGCCUGAGGACGUUAACAGACACUCUUAUUUUAAUACAACCCCCUAAACACAUGAACAGAGAAGAUCUCAUCAUAUUCCUUCAUCAUAAAGGGUAUGAUGGUCUUUCUCGAAAAUACGUCGCCCGCCCUUAAAAAUAGAAAUGGCCCAGGGGAGUCCACCAUGGCCCGGCCUUGUAGUGAGUGUGUACUGUAGCAUGAGAUUGAAUUUUGAGAAUAAAUUUUAAAACUGAGAACAAAUUUGGAAAUGCAAACUUUUUUUGAAUCUUGAAUACAAAUUUUGAAACCGAGAACAAUUUUGAAAGAUGGUGAACAAAUUUGGAAGCGCGAA
RNAcentral lists this long non-coding RNA (1303 nucleotides) under Hordeum vulgare. RNAcentral's name for it is "long non-coding RNA (HVUL_LNC020344)". The record is from RNAcentral. Lineage: Eukaryota; Viridiplantae; Streptophyta; Magnoliopsida; Poales; Poaceae.